GGGUAGAAUAUACCAAGGCGUAAGAGUGAAACCUGGUUAAGGAACUCGGCAAAUUAGCCCCGUAACUUCGGAAGAAGGGGUGCCUGCAGCGAUGCAGGCCGCAGAGAAAUGGCCCAACCGACUGUUUAUCAAAAACACAGCACUCUGCAAAGACGCAAGUCGAAGUAUAGGGUGUGACACGUGACCAAUGCCGAAAGAUUAAGGCAAGGGGUUAGCCGCAAGGCGAAGCUCUGAACCCAAGUCCCGGUGAAUGUCGGCCGUAACUAUAACGGUCCUAAGGUAGCGAAAUUCCUUGUCGGGUAAGUUCCGACCUGCACGAAUCGUGAAACGAGUUGGGCACUGUCUCAACCAGGCGCUCAGUGAAAUUGUAGUGGCGGUGAAGAUGCCGCCUACCCGCAGAAGGACGGAAAGACCCUAUAGACCUUAACUGUAAGCUGUCAUUGUUUCUUCGGUUUUAAUGCUCAGAGUAAGUGGGAGACGCUGAAGACGCCCUUUAGGGGGCGUCGGAGUCAUCAAUGAGACACCACCCUUUGAAACUGGAGGAUCUAACCCUGAGCCGUGAAUCCGGCCAGAGGACCGUGUCAGCCGGUCAGUUUUACUGGGGCGGUAUCCUCCCAAAGAGUAACGGAGGAGCGCGAAGGUGGGCUCAGCCCGGUUGGCAACCGGGUGUCGAGUGCAUGGGCAUAAGCCCGCCUAACUGUGAGACCUACAAGUCGAGCAGAUGCGAAAGCAGGCCCAAGUGAUCCGGCGGUAGAAAGUGGAAUUGCCGUCGCUCAACGGAUAAAAGGUACCUUAGGGAUAACAGGCUGAUCACGCCCAAGAGUUCAUAUCGACGGCGUGGUUUGGCACCUCGAUGUCGGCUCGUCGCAUCCUGGGGCUGGAGAAGGUCCCAAGGGUCCGGCUGUUCGCCGGUUAAAGCGGCACGCGAGCUGGGUUCAGAACGUCGCGAGACAGUUCGGUCCUCUAUCCUCUGUGGGCGUUGGAAAAUUGAGGGGUUCAGACCUUAGUACGAGAGGACCGGGUCUGACGCACCACUGGUGCAUCGGUUGUACUGUCAAGUGCAUGGCCGAGUAGCUAAGUGCGGACGGGAUAAGCGCUGAAAGCAUCUAAGCGCCAAGCCCAUCCCAAGAUGAGUUUUCCCUAUAGGUUCGUGGAAGACCACCACGUUGAUAGGUCGCAGGUGUAAGUGCAGCAAUGUAUUGAGCCAAGCGAUACUAAUCACCAAUAGACUUCAUCAU
This 1238-nucleotide ribosomal RNA is filed under the name human gut metagenome. Its description in RNAcentral is "bacterial LSU rRNA". It matches the Rfam family "Bacterial large subunit ribosomal RNA", at positions 1669 to 2925 of the family's 2925-position model. The record is from RNAcentral.